AUAUAAUAUGAAAGGAUAUACUAAUGAGCACUGUAAUAUUUCAUUUAUAUGCAACAUGUCCAGUGGAUGUCCAAAAAAAUUAUGUUGGAGAUGAACACACGCACGGUUGUUAUAAAUGCUGCUUGGAUAUUUAAAUCUGAUACUGUACAAUGAGAGGGUUAUGCAAUCAGCACGCCUCUGUUACCUUGAGGUUUUAUUGACACACAUACAAACACACAUUUACACGUGAAUGCACACACACACACACACACACACACACACACACACACACAAACACACACAUAUAUAUAUAUAUAUAUAUAUAUAUAUAUAUAUAUAUAUAUAUAUAUAUAUAUAUAUAUAUAUAUGCGCCGUCCUGCCUAUGGACAUUGUGUGGUCACCCACCCGAGCCUGAAAGUCUAAAACAGUUCAUGUAUUUUACUCUAAAGGCCUCCCCAAACACAUCAGUGCCGGUACUUGCGGGCCUGAACAACAGUUUUGUAUGCAUUUCGUAUCCAGGUUUUAUGUGUUCAGUGGUCUGUUUCUAGUGCUACUUCACUAAUUGUCGUGUGCCUUUUUACUGCAUUUUCUCCAUGUUCCUUCAUUUUCUGAAUUGCAUUUCACUGCAGUUUUGAAGGAUGGUGCCAUAUUUAACAUUUAGUUGAUGGUGGGGGAAAGAUAUGAAAAUUCAAAAUAGUCUGAACAAGGUGUCUGGUGUUAUACUAGAGGAACACUGAAACCAACCAAGAAAACAAGCCCACUUCUUCCAGAUUCAAUGUUAUGAAAUCUUCUGAUGUUCUGUUUUCUGUACUUUGUGUAUCAUCCACUUGGCUUGUAAAAAAAAAAAAAAAAACUACUGCUUGGCUUCAGACUUUUGUGUUUUUUCCAUCUUUGAAACUCACUUUUGUAUCGAUAUUCAGUUACUGGACUUACAUUUUUAGCAUGACUAAAAUGCUUUCCAUUUUGCUGAAAAGAUUUCAAAAGUGCUUUUCAAACUGUUGUUUUGUUUGACACAGUGUUGUAGGACGACAUAUAACGGUGUGUAUGGCACAACCACUGGAACUCUUAGUAAGAACAUAUAAAAGAUUGUCUUCAUUUGAGCACGAAACUUUUUAUUAACAAUAAAGCAGCCUUCCAGUUGCACAGAGUUGUUACUGAUUUUGUUGACCAUGAAUGAGAAGCCACAGACACAUUUAGAGCACACUUCACAUCACAAAAUUAGUCUUUAAUCUGCUACAGUAAUAACUGCCCCCCACCUCCAUAAAACUAUUAACACCUUUUACAUUUUAUUUACUUAAUUUAAUUCUCU
Molecule: long non-coding RNA, 1288 nt
Organism: Cyprinus carpio carpio
Lineage: Eukaryota; Metazoa; Chordata; Actinopteri; Cypriniformes; Cyprinidae
Source: Ensembl